Molecule: unclassified non-coding RNA, 277 nt
Filed under: fungal sp.
Lineage: Eukaryota; Fungi
Description: partial internal transcribed spacer region
Rfam family: Eukaryotic small subunit ribosomal RNA (bases 1-46)
Source: RNAcentral
AAGUCGUAACAAGGUAACCGUAGGUGAACCUGCGGUUGGAUCAUUACUAAGGUUAGGGUAUCUUGCCCUAUACAACCUUUUGUGAACCUGUAUACUGUAAAAUGGUAGUGCUUCCUGUUAAUUCAAGAACCUACCAACAGGGUUGUGGUAAACCUUUUUGGUUUCUGCAAUUUCUGAAUGAACAAACAUGUGUAUUAAUUUAAUGACUUGUGGUUUACCUGAAAGGGAAAACAAACCAAAUCUAAAACAACUUUUGACAACGGAUCUCUUGGCUCUC